Paramuricea clavata is the source of this 480-nucleotide non-coding RNA. The record is from the annotation of a GenBank genome assembly. NCBI's taxonomy places the organism in Eukaryota, Metazoa, Cnidaria, Anthozoa, Malacalcyonacea, Plexauridae.
AGGAGAAGAAGUACAUUUUCCGAGUAUAAAAUUUCAUAGCAUCUCUAGAAUCAUAAUCAAUAAAUUAAUGAAGACUCUGAAAGUGCCAUUUCCGAUGAUCUAGAGAUUCCAAAUAUUCAACUCCCCCCCCCUCAGUUAAUCAAGCAUCAUAUAUUCAGGGCUGUAGCAAGGGGGGGGGGCAAUAAUUUGCUAAUAAUCAUUUUUUUUUCAAAAUCAUGCAGACCUUUAUCAUUUAAUCCAUGACAAACUGCAAAGAAUGAAGAUAUUACCCAUACUUUCCUGCAACUUAUCCAAUAUAUAGUUAAUUAAAUACGCCUUCGCCCAUUUAGUACUACUAAAUUGUAAAUUUUGACAUACUAAGACGCUGUUUUCUGACCAGUAGAAUUCUGUCAAAUCUUCCCCAAAGUCCAGGAAAUGGCAUUUCAGAGACUCUAAAUUUAAAAAUUUCCUCGGGCCUUCGGCCCUCACUUUCAGCCCCCC